This 188-nucleotide ribosomal RNA is filed under the name uncultured rumen bacterium. Its description in RNAcentral is "partial 16S ribosomal RNA". It matches the Rfam family "Bacterial small subunit ribosomal RNA", at positions 340 to 524 of the family's 1533-position model. The record is from RNAcentral.
UACGGGAGGCAGCAGUGAGGAAUAUUGGUCAAUGGACGAUGGUCUGAACCAGCCAAGUCGCGUGCGGGACGAAGGCCCUCCGGGUCGUAAACCGCUUUAGCCGGGGAGUAACGUGCAGGACGUGUCCUGCAGUGAGAGUNACCCGGAGAAUAAGCAUCGGCUAACUCCGUGCCAGCAGCCGCGGUAAU